RNAcentral lists this ribosomal RNA (819 nucleotides) under uncultured Bacteroidota bacterium. RNAcentral's name for it is "bacterial SSU rRNA". It matches the Rfam family "Bacterial small subunit ribosomal RNA", at positions 80 to 902 of the family's 1533-position model. Lineage: Bacteria; Pseudomonadati; Bacteroidota. The record is from RNAcentral.
CAAUACAGAUGGCGCACGGCGCACGGGUGCGUAACACGUGGGUAAUCUGCCCUUCGAUGGGGAAUAACUCGCCGAAAGGCGAGCUAAUUCCGCAUAACAUUCCUUGAACCUCGGUUUGGGGACUCAAAGCCGUAAGGCGUCGGAGGAGGAACCCGCGCACGAUUAGCUAGUUGGUAGGGUAACGGCCUACCAAGGCUUUGAUCGUUAGCUGGUCUGAGAGGAUGGCCAGCCACACUGGAACUGAGACACGGUCCAGACUCCUACGGGAGGCAGCAGUGGGGAAUCUUGCACAAUGGGCGAAAGCCUGAUGCAGCGACGCCGCGUGGGGGAUGAAGCUUUUCGGAGUGUAAACCCCUUUCGACCCGGACGAAUGCCCCGCAAGGGGACUGACGGUACGGGUAUAAGAAGCCCCGGCUAACUACGUGCCAGCAGCCGCGGUAAGACGUGGGGGGCCAGCGUUGCUCGGAAUUACUGGGUGUAAAGGGUUCGUAGGCGGUGUAGCAAGUCGGGAGUGAAAUCUCUGGGCUCAACCCAGAGACUGCUUCCGAAACUGCUGUGCUUGAGUGUGGGAGAGGCGCGUGGAAUUGCAGGUGUAGCGGUGAAAUGCGUAGAUAUCUGCAGGAACACCCGUGGCGAAAGCGGCGCGCUGGACCACUACUGACGCUGAGGAACGAAAGCUAGGGGAGCAAACCGGAUUAGAUACCCUGGUAGUCCUAGCCCUAAACGAUCAGGACUUGGGGUGCCGCACGUUCGUGCGUCGUCCCGGAGCUAACGCGUUAAGUCCUGCACCUGGGGAGUACGGUCGCAAGACUGAAACUC